UGUGAUAUAGCUCAGUAAUAGAGUACUUGCCUAGCAUGUAUGAGGUCUUGGAUUCAAUCCUCAGCAUCACAA
Molecule: transfer RNA, 72 nt
Filed under: Cavia porcellus (domestic guinea pig)
Lineage: Eukaryota; Metazoa; Chordata; Mammalia; Rodentia; Caviidae
Rfam family: tRNA
About the family: Transfer RNA (tRNA) molecules are approximately 80 nucleotides in length. Their secondary structure includes four short double-helical elements and three loops (D, anti-codon, and T loops). Further hydrogen bonds mediate the characteristic L-shaped molecular structure. tRNAs have two regions of fundamental functional importance: the anti-codon, which is responsible for specific mRNA codon recognition, and the 3' end, to which the tRNAs corresponding amino acid is attached (by aminoacyl-tRNA synthetases). tRNAs cope with the degeneracy of the genetic code in two manners: having more than one tRNA (with a specific anti-codon) for a particular amino acid; and 'wobble' base-pairing, i.e. permitting non-standard base-pairing at the 3rd anti-codon position.
Source: Rfam by way of RNAcentral